This 468-nucleotide ribosomal RNA is filed under the name uncultured bacterium. RNAcentral's name for it is "partial 16S ribosomal RNA". It matches the Rfam family "Bacterial small subunit ribosomal RNA", at positions 28 to 507 of the family's 1533-position model. The record is from RNAcentral.
GACGAACGCUGGCGGCGUGCUUAACACAUGCAAGUCGAACGGAAAGGCCCUGCUUUUGUGGGGUGCUCGAGUGGCGAACGGGUGAGUAACACGUGAGUAACAUGCCCUUGACUUUGGGAUAACUUCAGGAAACUGGGGCUAAUACCGGAUAGGAGCUCCUGCUGCAUGGUGGGGGUUGGAAAGUUUCGGCGGUUGGGGAUGGACUCGCGGCUUAUCAGCUUGUUGGCGGGGUAGUGGCUUACCAAGGCUUUGACGGGUAGCCGGCCUGAGAGGGUGACCGGCCACAUUGGGACUGAGAUACGGCCCAGACUCCUACGGGAGGCAGCAGUGGGGAAUAUUGCACAAUGGGCGGAAGCCUGAUGCAGCAACGCCGCGUGCGGGAUGACGGCCUUCGGGUUGUAAACCGCUUUCGCCUGUGACGAAGCGUGAGUGACGGUAAUGGGUAAAGAAGCACCGGCUAACUACGUG